AUUGAACGCUGGCGGCAGGCCUAACACAUGCAAGUCGAGCGAGCGGCGGACGGGUGAGUAAUGUCUGGGAAACUGCCUGAUGGAGGGGGAUAACUACGGGAAACGGUAGCUAAUACCGCAAACCAUCAGAUAUGCCCAGAUGGGAUUAGCUAGUAGGUGGGGUAACGGCUCACCUAGGCGACAAGCCCUAGCUGGUCUGAGCGGAUGACCAGCACCCCUUGAAUUGAGACCUGGUCCAGACUCCUACGGGAGGCAGCAGUGGGGAAUCUUGACCAAUGGGCGCAAGCCUGAUGCAGCCAUGCCGCGUGUAUGAAGAAGGCCUUCGGGUUGUAAAGUACUUUCAGCGUGGAGGCGUUACCCGCAGAAGAAGCACCGGCUAACUCCGUGCCAGCAGCCGCGGUAAUU
Molecule: ribosomal RNA, 405 nt
Filed under: uncultured bacterium
Lineage: Bacteria
Description: partial 16S ribosomal RNA
Rfam family: Bacterial small subunit ribosomal RNA
Source: RNAcentral